CUUAGCUUCAAGUCUGACAACUAUUUCGACAACGUUGACGAUGUAGAUAUGUUUUCUGUUGAUAACAUAAUGAGGAAACUCAGAGAUCCCGUAGAUAAAACAAUUUGGCCUAUAGGAGCUUCCAUAGUUAACGCCUUCUACGACCCAACACAAAAUUCCAUAACGUUUCCAGCUGGCAUUCUCCAGCCACCAUUUUAUGAUAAAGAUUAUCCAAAAUCACUUAUCUAUGGCGGUAUUGGUUUGGUUAUUGGUCAUGAAAUAACACAUGGUUUUGACGACCAAGGUCGACAGUAUGAUAAAGAUGGAAAUUUAUAUUCAUGGUGGACAAAUACAUCAUCCAUUAAAUUUGAUGAAUUGGCACAGUGUAUAAUAGAUCAGUAUUCCAGCUAUAAAUUUGGCCCCGAUUACAUAAAAGGUACAAAUACACAAGGCGAGAAUAUAGCUGAUAAUGGUGGAAUAAAGGCAGCAUUUAAAGCUUAUAAUACAUGGUUAAAAAGUAAUAAUGAAGAAUAUGAUAAAUUGCCAGGUUUAAAUUUGACACACAAUCAACUCUUCUUUAUCAAUUUUGCGCAGGGUUGGUGUGGUAAGAGAACCCCAGAAGCUUUACAUAAUCAGAUAUUGACAGAUCCACACAGUCCAGGCAGAUACAGAAUAAUCGGAACUCUAUCGAACAGUGAAGAUUUUUCAAAGGUGUUUCAGUGUAAACCAAAUUCCACAAUGAAUCCAAAUAAAAAAUGUUCUGUUUGGUAAUUUAUGAACUGCUGUAUAUAAUGUUAAUUUCUUAAAUAUUAUUUUAGAUAUUUACUUAUAUAACUUUUAAUCAACUUUGAUUUUAUUUCGAAGCUUGAAAUCCUUUCGGUUUUAAAACUUCCAUAUAACAUCAUUGGUAUACUGCGCGGUCGCAAAUAAACUUAUAACAAAAAUAAAAUGAAAUGGGGUUUAACGUUCUACUGGUCUGAACUUAGAACAGUUUCAUUUAUACAAGACUCGCCUUUUUAUACGCCCACAUUUUCAUGUGGACGUAUAUUGUCGUCGCCCCUGUCCGUCCGGAUGUCCACAAUUUGUUUGUGGACACUCUUCAGGUCACAAUUAUUAUCCGAUAUAUAUUGUCGUCGCUCCUGUCCGUCCGGACGUCCACAAUUUGUUUGUGGACACUCUACAGGUCACAAUUGACGAAACUUUAAAUAUAGGUAUAUCUCCAAAAGAUCUCGAUUCUUUUCGAUAUUGGCAUGUAUCGGAUCGAAACUUCAUAGAUUAUGGCCCCUGAUUGUCCGAAAAAUCACGUUGUUAGCUUGUGGACACUCCAGAGGUCACAAUAUUCAUCUGAUUUUGAUGAAACUUGCAAUGCAUGUUUAUGACCCAAAAAUCUUGGCUCCUGUCGAUAUUCACGCAUAUCGGAGAGUAAGUUCCUGGUUUAUGACCCCUGAUUAUACGAAAAAUCACGUUUUUAGUCCGUGGUCCCUCUAGAGGUCACAAUUAUUAUCCGAUUUAAAAAAGCAUUCUAGUAUAUCACCGUUACAACCCUAAUUUUGGUUGAGUACGAAUUUCGUGAAAAUCGGACCCAAACAGUGUAAAAAUAUGGUAUAUCAAGGUUGUUGACCCUCUAGAGGUCACACUUUUGAUCCGAUUUUAAUGGGACUUGAAUACAUUUUUAUAACCCAAAGAUCUGGGUUCCUUUUUAUAUUCGCGCAUAUCGGAUCACAACUUCUUGAAUUAUGGCCCUUGAUUGUACGAAAAUUAUCGCGUUAUUAGCUUGUGAUCCAUCUAGAGGUCACAAUUAUUUUCCGAUUAAAAAAAAAAACCGCUUUAAUAUUUCACCGUUACACCGUAAUGUCGGUUGAGUUCGAAUUUUGUUAUAAUCGGACCAAAACUGCGGGACAAAAUGGCCGCCCCUUGUACGCAAAUAGUGUAAAAAAAAUAUGGUAUAUCAAGGUUGUGGGCCCUCUAGAGGGUUUAUAACCCAAAGAUCUCGGUUUCUUUCCAUAUUUGCGCAUAUUGGUCUGUAAGUUCCUGGAUUAUGGCUCCUGAUUGUACAAAAAGUCAUAUUAUUUUUUUUAGCCCUAUCUCUGUCCAUCUCUUGCAAAAUGUGGGCGUAUCUUGCAUGGCAACCGCUUGUUAAAGUAAGGUGCUUAGAUACGUCAAAGUAUUUCAUUGCUCGCAAAAUAUUUCUUUUUCAACCAAGAUGAUUUUUAGUGAACAGUAUAAGAAGUAUAAAUUAUAUUUAUCUUGUUUAA
Long non-coding RNA from Patella vulgata (common limpet), 2234 nucleotides. RefSeq lists it as uncharacterized. Lineage: Eukaryota; Metazoa; Mollusca; Gastropoda; Patellidae. The transcript has 9 exons. The record is from RefSeq and is a predicted model, not a curated record.